UGUACUAUCACUGAUACAUAAAGGGAGUCCAUGUAUUUAGACAGCAGGUCGGUGCCCCUAAAAGCAGGUAUCCGCUAAAGAGUGUGUUAAAACUCACCUGCCGAAUACUAGGGCCCCGAAAAUGAAUGGCGCAUAUAGUACUACCGAUCUCAGACAUCAGUUCUAUUGAACUGAGAGUAGGGGGAUGUGGACAUUUUUGUGAAGGUGCAAUGUGAGUUGGACUGGAAGAAUGUCUAUUACAGAUCCUAAUUGAAGUAGCGAUUAUCCAGGCUUGUAUCCUGGGGGCUGAUGAGGAGUAGGGUUUCUGGACAACUUAAACAGAUCCAGAGUUAGUCGAUCCUAAUCUCAAUAAUGGGAGAAAGGGAGUACAGUUGAUAUUCUGUAACUGACAACAGUUCGCGGCAACGCAUACUAUUUUUCUCCGCCAAUCUUAUACCGUUGGUAGGGAUCUCUUUCCUACAUGACAGUACUAAUACCCAGGGAAACUGGUCAUCAGGCGAACUGCGGCGUUCUGCUGGCAAAACAUAGCUUCGGUUAUGUCAAUGGCUAUUGGAUUGGUCCAUGAAGCGAAAAAUAGUUUACUGUGUCACUCGUACCGAUAACCGCAUCAGGUCUUCUAGGUAAGUAGCCUAUGGCCAUUGAGGCAUGAUAGUUCAGGGAAUUCGGCCAAUUAGAGCUGUAACUUCGGGAUAAAGCUUGGCUCUGAUGAAAAUCAGAACCGAUUGUUACGCGGAGAGCCCAACUGUUUAAUAAAAACGUAGUGUCGCGCUGUGGUAGUAUAGCCAGUGAACGCGACAUGAAUCCUGCUCAGUGCUGUGUCUGUUAAUAUGGUUCAAGCCAACGAAGCACCGGUAAAUAGCUGGGGUAACUAUGACUCUUAUCAAAGUAGCGAAAUACCUCGUCACUUAAUUAGUGACCUGCAUGA
This 925-nucleotide non-coding RNA is filed under the name Trichomonas vaginalis G3. RNAcentral's name for it is "Eukaryotic large subunit ribosomal RNA". It matches the Rfam family "Eukaryotic large subunit ribosomal RNA", at positions 1194 to 2318 of the family's 3401-position model. The record is from Rfam by way of RNAcentral. Lineage: Eukaryota; Parabasalia; Trichomonadida; Trichomonadidae.